RNAcentral lists this ribosomal RNA (253 nucleotides) under uncultured bacterium. RNAcentral's name for it is "partial 16S ribosomal RNA". It matches the Rfam family "Bacterial small subunit ribosomal RNA", at positions 524 to 776 of the family's 1533-position model. The record is from RNAcentral.
UACGUAGGUGGCAAGCGUUACUCGGAAUCACUAGGCGUAAAGCGCAGGUAGGCGGUUCGGUAAGUCUCUUGUGAAAGCUCCCGGCUCAACUGGGAGAGGUCAAGGGAAACUACCGGGCUAGAGUGUGGCAGAGGAAGCUGGAAUUCCCGGUGUAGCGGUGAAAUGCGUAGAGAUCGGGAGGAAUACCUAUGGCGAAAGCAGGCUUCUGGGCCGUCACUGACGCUGAGCUGCGAAAGCUAGGGGAGCAAACAGG